AAUCAAUUUAUACAGUCUGGUGAUUACUCCAAAAAUUCACGAGCUUCAUGGUCAUAGAUACAGUGGUUAUAAUUUAGCAGAUUCACAAGCUUCAUUAUUGUUUUUAUUGCACAUAUUUAAUGGGAAAAUUUCUUUAUCAUGGGUAAUGACCAAAUAUUGUGUGGCGGCAAUGGCUGUUACCAAUACAGUAAUGGCGCCACUACACAUAGACAAAGCAUCUCUCUUUUGGCUGGCCAUUACCAGUAUAAUUCAUAAGUUAGUUUCAG
RNAcentral lists this unclassified non-coding RNA (266 nucleotides) under Hevea brasiliensis (rubber tree). Lineage: Eukaryota; Viridiplantae; Streptophyta; Magnoliopsida; Malpighiales; Euphorbiaceae. The record is from RNAcentral.